This is a long non-coding RNA of Alosa sapidissima (American shad), 143 nucleotides long. RefSeq lists it as uncharacterized. The transcript has 3 exons. The record is from RefSeq and is a predicted model, not a curated record. Lineage: Eukaryota; Metazoa; Chordata; Actinopteri; Clupeiformes; Clupeidae.
GGCUGCAGUGCCCCCAGCUCACCAGAGCAAAUGCUCGGCAGGCUACCUCCGAGAGAGCGAGAGAGAAAAAAAGAUGCAUGUUUAAAAUAACACUUUGAGUUGCAUGUCCCGAGUCUCGACUAAAGCCUGUCGGAACGCUAAAA